GACGAACGCUGGCGGCGUGCUUAACACAUGCAAGUCGAACGGAAAGGCCCUGCUUUUGUGGGGUGCUCGAGUGGCGAACGGGUGAGUAACACGUGAGUAACCUGCCCUUGGCUUUGGGAUAACUUCAGGAAACUGGGGCUAAUACCGGAUAGGAGCUCCUGCUGCAUGGUGGGGGUUGGAAAGUUUCGGCGGUUGGGGAUGGACUCGCGGCUUAUCAGCUUGUUGGUGGGGUAGUGGCUUACCAAGGCUUUGACGGGUAGCCGGCCUGAGAGGGUGACCGGCCACAUUGGGACUGAGAUACGGCCCAGACCCCUACGGGAGGCAGCAGUGGGGAAUAUUGCACAAUGGGCGGAAGCCUGAUGCAGCAACGCCGCGUGCGGGAUGACGGCCUUCGGGUUGUAAACCGCUUUCGCCUGUGACGAAGCGUGAGUGACGGUAAUGGGUAAAGAAGCACCGGCUAACUACGUG
RNAcentral lists this ribosomal RNA (468 nucleotides) under uncultured bacterium. Its description in RNAcentral is "partial 16S ribosomal RNA". It matches the Rfam family "Bacterial small subunit ribosomal RNA", at positions 28 to 507 of the family's 1533-position model. The record is from RNAcentral.